This 400-nucleotide ribosomal RNA is filed under the name uncultured bacterium. RNAcentral describes it as "bacterial SSU rRNA". It matches the Rfam family "Bacterial small subunit ribosomal RNA", at positions 355 to 772 of the family's 1533-position model. The record is from RNAcentral.
UGGGGAAUAUUGGACAAUGGGCGCAAGCCUGAUCCAGCCAUGCCGCGUGAGUGACGAAGGCCUUCGGGUUGUAAAGCUCUUUUGGCGGGGACGAUAAUGACGGUACCCGCAGAAUAAGCCCCGGCUAACUUCGUGCCAGCAGCCGCGGUAAUACGAAGGGGGCAAGCAUUGUUCGGAAUUACUGGGCGUAAAGGGUGCGUAGGCGGAUUUGCGCGUCAGGUGUGAAAGCCCGGGGCUUAACCUCGGAAUUGCAUUUGAUACGGCAAGUCUGGAGUAUUGGAGAGGAGCGUGGAAUUCCCAGUGUAGAGGUGAAAUUCGUAGAUAUUGGGAGGAACACCAGUGGCGUAGGCGACGCUCUGGCCAAAUACUGACGCUGAGGCACGAAAGUGUGGGGAGCAAA